Molecule: transfer RNA, 104 nt
Filed under: Moritella sp. JT01
Lineage: Bacteria; Pseudomonadati; Pseudomonadota; Gammaproteobacteria; Alteromonadales; Moritellaceae
Also listed under: 1 other name
Description: tRNA-Ser
Rfam family: tRNA
About the family: Transfer RNA (tRNA) molecules are approximately 80 nucleotides in length.
Source: RNAcentral
GGAGGGGUGGCAGAGUGGCCGAAUGCACUGGUCUUGAAAACCAGCNNUGAAAACCAGCAGGGGUUAAUAGCUCCUCGAGAGUUCAAAUCUCUCCUCCUCCGCCA